Molecule: long non-coding RNA, 219 nt
Organism: Gordionus sp. m RMFG-2023
Lineage: Eukaryota; Metazoa; Nematomorpha; Gordioida; Chordodea; Parachordodidae
Exons: 3
Source: RefSeq, a predicted model, not a curated record
CACAUUUUUUAUCAACGUAUAAGCCUGAUGAUAUCGAGAGAGAAGCAUUCAGAAAAUAUUUGGAAAGAGAAGGAGUUAUGGAUGUAUUAACCAAAAGUUCAAUAUUUAUAAAUUACUAUAUUUUUAAAUUUAUAGUAGUACUCUUGACAUUAUAUGAAGAAAAAGAGAAACCGAAAUACCCAUUGAAAUAUAUUAAAGAACAAUUGCAGGAACUUGUGG